CCUCGAUGCGGGAUCGCGCGGCCUUAUGAUUCCCUCUCCCAGCGAGUCACGCAAGAUCGAGCUCUACUCGCCCGCCUUCUAUGCUGCCUGUACUGCUGGUGGAAUCCUCAGCUGUGGCCUCACUCACAUGACCGUCACUCCUCUUGACCUUGUCAAGUGUAAUAUGCAGGUCUCUCUCUUCCUCUCUCUCUCUCUCUGUAUAUAUUUGUUUAUCUCGAUCUGACUUGUUGUCAUUAGGUUUCACUGCUUUCGCUCGAUUGUGUUAUGUUUUGCUCCUUGUCUUCGUUAUUGUUAGAUCUGUGAUUUUCUUUCAAGUAUUUUCCGAUGUUAGGUCGUGAUUCUUGUGUCUUAGUUAAUUAGAUCUGUUAUGUUUUGCUGUUUUCUUUAGUUGAACAAUCGUUGGCCUUGUAUUUCGUGUAAUUUCUAGUUCGAUUGCGUAUUUUUUUUUGUAGUUUCUGAUGUGCGCUAUUCAUGUAUUUCUAGUUUAGUGAGUCUGCUAUAAGUUUUUUAGAUUUUGUAGUUGUAGUAGCGUUUUACUGCGUUGACGUGCUGAGUUUGAUUCCGCGGGAGAAUCAUAUUCUUCGUUGGGCGCAUCAUUAGGUGAGGACAUGGAAGUUUGGUCCAUUAUGAAGUGCUGAAUUUGUUAUUGGUGUCGUGAUUUGUGCUGUGACUUUAAGGAUCCAGGUCCUCUAGAGUAGGUAAUCUGUGUUGUUGAUGAUGAAAUUUAAUUGUUGAUGUUACUUGGACUCGCACAUGAACAACAAUUUAUGGAUGUGUUGGAAUAUCAAGAGUUAGAUUUCUCAUCAACUGCUGAUGUUUAUUGUCUUUGUAUACUUUUGAGGAGACAGAACCUAAAUCAUGUUUACUUGUUGAUUUCAGAUCGACCCUGCUAAGUAUAAGAACAUCUCGUCUGGGUUUGGUGUUUUGCUCAAGGAGCAGGGCUUCAAGGGCUUUUUCCGUGGUUGGGUGCCUACCUUGCUUGGUUACAGUGCCCAGGGUGCUUGCAAAUUCGGAUUCUACGAGUUCUUUAAGAAGUAUUACUCUGAUAUUGCUGGCCCAGAGUAUGCGAGCAAGUACAAGACCUUGAUCUACCUUGCUGGUUCCGCUUCUGCGGAGGUUAUUGCUGAUGUUGCUCUUUGCCCUUUCGAGGCUGUGAAGGUCCGUGUCCAAACACAGCCUGGUUUUGCUAGGGGUUUGGCUGAUGGGCUCCCAAAAUUUGUGAAAUCUGA
Molecule: long non-coding RNA, 1229 nt
Filed under: Phaseolus vulgaris (common bean)
Lineage: Eukaryota; Viridiplantae; Streptophyta; Magnoliopsida; Fabales; Fabaceae
Description: long non-coding RNA (PVUL_LNC004950)
Source: RNAcentral